AUUGAACGCUGGCGGAAUACUUUACACAUGCAAGUCGAACGGCAGCAUAGGUGCUUGCACCUGAUGGCGAGUGGCGAACGGGUGAGUAAUACAUCGGAACGUGCCCAGUCGUGGGGGAUAACGUAGCGAAAGUUACGCUAAUACCGCAUACGAUCUAAGGAUGAAAGCGGGGGACCGUAAGGCCUCGCGCGAUUGGAGCGGCCGAUGUCAGGUUAGGUAGUUGGUGAGGUAAAGGCUCACCAAGCCGACGAUCUGUAGCUGGUCUGGGAGGACGACCAGCCACACUGGGACUGAGACAAGGCCCAGACUCCUACGGGAGGCAGCAGUGGGGAAUUUUGGACAAUGGACGCAAGUCUGAUCCAGCCAUUCCGCGUGCAGGACGAAGGCCUUCGGGUUGUAAACUGCUUUUGUACGGAACGAAAAAGCUCUUACUAAUACUAGGAGUCCAUGACGGUACCGUAAGAAUAAGCACCGGCUAACUACGUGCCAGCCGCCGCCGUAA
RNAcentral lists this ribosomal RNA (502 nucleotides) under uncultured bacterium. Its description in RNAcentral is "partial 16S ribosomal RNA". It matches the Rfam family "Bacterial small subunit ribosomal RNA", at positions 30 to 523 of the family's 1533-position model. The record is from RNAcentral.